RNAcentral lists this long non-coding RNA (796 nucleotides) under Brachypodium distachyon (stiff brome). Its description in RNAcentral is "long non-coding RNA (BDIS_LNC000335)". The record is from RNAcentral. Lineage: Eukaryota; Viridiplantae; Streptophyta; Magnoliopsida; Poales; Poaceae.
CCGAGGAAGCAAAGGAGCUUGAAGAAGAAGAGGCUCUGGUAGCUCCUGACUAUGGUGCAGUGGCAGAAUAUGCUGCGCCCACAGCAGAUACCUGGGGUGGUGAAUGGCCAGGAGCUGCCGCUCCACCUGCUGCCGUUGUGGCCGAAGCUGGUGCUGACUGGACUGGUGCUGCAGGUUCGAUUUCUUUCAUUUCGUGCUAUUAGAUUACCAACGAACGGAAAAUCAACCUUCAGUCAUAUGCAUGAAGUUUAUCUUUGAUGUUUUUUUUUCUCAAGUGUCAAUGUUGUAUACUACCUUGUGGCUGGCCUAGGAAGGCUUGAGGCUGGGUUUAAGCUUGCGUUUGCAGCGAGUUAAGCUCCUAUCAUGUUUUUUGGUGCUAGCAUAAGGUUCGGCCCACAUUUUAAGUCAGGCUGCCUGCUGGCAUUAAUUUAGAACCUUGAUCUCAAUAUUUGGUCUAUGCCUAUAGUCCGAUAUAUGAAGCCAACUGUUAUGUUAUACCUUUACCCGGGAAAUGAUAACUCCUAUUCGAUAUUUCUAUUUCCCAUCCUGCAUCUGGUGAUUUAGAUGUAGAUGUCUGCUUGCAUGUUGUUUGAUAGCAACCUGAACAAAUUGGUAUUCUGAAUUGCAGCUCCUGCGGCUGAUGCUGGAUGGGAUGCAGUUGCUGCCCCCCCACCUGCCGCCCCUGGUUGGGAACAAGGCAGUGCGCCUGCACCUGCUACGGCUACCCCGAACUGGGAGUAGAAGAGUAAAGCACAUGGAUCAUGGGUGGAUGACUGAGUUAUUUGCCAGAAGAGUA